RNAcentral lists this ribosomal RNA (966 nucleotides) under Triticum aestivum (bread wheat). RNAcentral describes it as "partial small subunit ribosomal RNA". Lineage: Eukaryota; Viridiplantae; Streptophyta; Magnoliopsida; Poales; Poaceae. The record is from RNAcentral.
AUGGAGAGCAAGCACACCGACCAGGCAAACGUGAAGGCGAAGCUCAGCACCAUGCACUCGAAGGUGAUCUGUUGCAAGCUCUACAUCUCUGAAAGCCAAAAUGCGGCUGUUGUCGAUGCCAUCAGCCGCAUAGGCCAGAAAGACCCUGAGGUGGUUCUACUCAACAAGUUCGAGGAUGAGUACUACAACCGUGUCCGCUACACGCUUGUCUCCUACAUCACCAACGAAAGCUCGACUGGUGGAGCUGUAUUUAGCCCAAUCAGGAAGGUACUGCUGGCGAUGAUCGAGGCUGCAUUUUCAGCCAUAAACCUCGAAGUGCACUGUGGAACUCAUCCAAGGAUUGGUGUCGUCGAUGACAUUUCAUUCCACCCCUUGAAUCAAGCGGACACAAUAGAGGAUGCUGCUCAGCUGGCUAAGCUGGUAGCCUCUGACAUUGGCAAUGGCUUGCAAGUUCCAGUGUUCCUAUAUGCGGCAGCACACCCCACCAGCAAGAGCGUCAGUGCAGUCCGGCGUGAGCUCGGCUACUUCCGGCCAAACCACAAGGGCGUCCAAUGGGCAGGCCCGGUGCUCCCUGAUACUCUACCGAUGAAGCCAGAUGUGGGCCCAGUUCACGUUCCUCGUGAAAGAGGCGCCACCAUGGUCGGAGCUCAACCUUUGGUCGAGAGCUACAAUGUGCCGAUAUUCUGCAAGGAUGUCCCAACCGUGAGAAGAAUCACCCGGAGGGUGACUGGACGGAGCGGAGGGCUCCCGUCAGUACAGGCACUUGCACUUUUCCAUGGCGACAAUUGCACGGAGAUCGCAUGUUUUUUGCUGGAUCCAGACCACGUCGGCGCCGAUCGGGUUCAAUGGCUGGUGGAGCAGAUUGCAGAGGAGCAAGGGCUUGAAGUUGAAAAGGGCUAUUUCACUGACCUGUCAAAGCAUAUGAUGCUAGAAAGGUACUCCGAGAUGGUUUCUGCAGCUGACUGA